AAAAAGAUAAGCUAAAUAAGCUCUCAGGUUCAUACCCUGUUUAUAAAAGUCCCACCCUUUUUCUUUUUA
Molecule: transfer RNA, 69 nt
Filed under: Osphya sp. n.
Lineage: Eukaryota; Metazoa; Arthropoda; Insecta; Coleoptera; Melandryidae
Description: tRNA-Met
Source: RNAcentral